Molecule: unclassified non-coding RNA, 391 nt
Filed under: soil metagenome
Description: partial contains 5.8S ribosomal RNA, internal transcribed spacer 2, and large subunit ribosomal RNA
Rfam family: 5.8S ribosomal RNA (bases 1-122)
Source: RNAcentral
GAUGAAGAACGUAGCGAAAUGCGAUACUUGGUGUGAAUUGCAGAAUCCCGUGAACCAUCGAGUCUUUGAACGCAAGUUGCGCCCGAAGCCAUUAGGCCGAGGGCACGCCUGCCUGGGCGUCACACGUCGUUGCCCCCCCAUCUACUCCUUCGGGAUUGCGGGGGGCGGAUGAUGGCCUCCCGUGCGCCUCGUCGUGCGGUUGGCAUAAAUGCCAAGUCCUCGGCGACGCACGCCACGACAAUCGGUGGUUGCGAAACCUCGGUUGCCCGUCGUGUGCGGUCGUCGCGCAUCGAGGGCUCGAAAAAAUUGCCGAGUUCCGGCUCGGCUUUCAACGCGACCCCAGGUCAGGCGGGGUUACCCGCUGAAUUUAAGCAUAUCAAUAAGCGGAGGA